GUGCUUGAUUUGGCAGCACAUGUACUAAAAUUAGAAUGAUACAGAGAAGUUUAGCAUAGCCUCUGCACAAGGAUGACCCACAAUUCAUGAAAUAUUCCAUAAAAAAAAUUU
Molecule: non-coding RNA, 111 nt
Organism: Ictidomys tridecemlineatus (thirteen-lined ground squirrel)
Lineage: Eukaryota; Metazoa; Chordata; Mammalia; Rodentia; Sciuridae
Source: Rfam